UGGGGAAUAUUGGACAAUGGGCGCAAGCCUGAUCCAGCAAUGCCGCGUGUGUGAAGAAGGCCUUCGGGUUGUAAAGCACUUUUAUCAGGAGCGAAACGCUGUCGGCUAAUACCCGGCGGAACUGACGGUACCUGAGGAAGUAAGCACCGGCUAACUUCGUGCCAGCAGCCGCGGUAAUACGGAAGGGUGCAAGCGUUAAUCGGAAUUACUGGGCGUAAAGCGUGCGUAGGCGGUUUCUUAAGUCUGCUGUGAAAUCCCCGGGCUCAACCUGGGAAUGGCAGUGGAUACUGGGAGGCUAGAGUGUGUCAGAGGGUGGUGGAAUUCCCGGUGUAGCGGUGAAAUGCGUAGAGAUCGGGAGGAACAUCAGUGGCGAAGGCGGCCACCUGGGACAACACUGACGCUGAGGCACGAAAGCGUGGGGAGCAAACAGGAUUAGAUACCCUGGUAGUCCACGCCCUAAACGAUGCGAACUGGAUGUUGGUCCUCAACUCGGAGAUCAGUGUCGAAGCUAACGCGUUAAGUUCGCCGCCUGGGGAGUACGUCGCAAGACUGGAAACUCAAAUGAAUUGACGGGGUCAUAGCUGUUUCCAUG
RNAcentral lists this ribosomal RNA (592 nucleotides) under uncultured bacterium. Its description in RNAcentral is "partial 16S ribosomal RNA". It matches the Rfam family "Bacterial small subunit ribosomal RNA", at positions 355 to 1378 of the family's 1533-position model. The record is from RNAcentral.